This 1170-nucleotide long non-coding RNA is filed under the name Zea mays. RNAcentral's name for it is "long non-coding RNA NONZMAT000093". The record is from RNAcentral. Lineage: Eukaryota; Viridiplantae; Streptophyta; Magnoliopsida; Poales; Poaceae.
GCCAGACUGCAGGCCCAUAUGGUCCAUAUGGACACGGCUCCAUCACAGGAUGAAACCAGCGCUGUGCCGCCGCCGGCGUCCGGCCCCAGCGCCGCGUCGCGCAGCCACCCAGUGUCGAGCCGCCGCCUAGCUCCAGAGCCGCGUCGCGGAUCUCCGCAGCUUCGCUAAAUCGCAGUUGCUAGCUUCAUCCUCUCGAUGAUGUGUCGUGGACUUGACGUCGUUCGGCGUCCCAACUCGCGCCCCGGCAUCAAUUCGUCUAUGUACCGUGUCAUCCUGAAUCCGGAACAACCGUCCUUGAGCGCUUUGGCUCAAAAAUAAAAAAUCCUAUCGAUAUUAUAUUAAAAAGAUACCGAAACAUGACCCUGGUGAGAAAACCCCUGAAUCUUCAUAUGGGUACAUAUAUUACUUUUACUUCUUAUGUCAUUUAAUAUUGAUGGCUGUACAUAAUUCAAGUUUUGAAAUGCUUUUCUUCAGGUUACUUAAAACAUUAUCGUUUAUCCCUCAAGUAGCCAAACUUUUGUGUAAGAUGCUUAUCAGACCCCCUUCCAUAGAACUGUUACUCAAGCUUGUCUGGCUAUCAAACUUUCCACAGUAGAGCUGCCUAUUGGCUAUUGAUGCUUGCAGUGCACUCUUCUUUGAAUCUGGCGUUUCAACAACUGCAACUGGAGUAGCAUGCAUAAGCUGGCAGUGGAAUAUAUAAUAUUUUCUUUGGUAUUUUGACAGCUACCUGUGCUUAAUCGUUGCUUGUUUAUGCAACUAGAUUACUGGUUGCAGGUUGAAAGUAAUGUUAUUUGCUGCCGCUUUCUAUGACUAUGCAUCUGCUUGCUUGGGUGACGUCUUGCUAACAAUGAUUGAUAAGCUGACGUCUUGACCAACGAUGAUUGAAGACUUGUGUUAUCUCAAUCUAGUGUUUGCUGCAUCAUGGCACCCACAUUGGUUUAUUAGCUGAUGUUACUGCUGUCUGUAUGACUAUUUUCUAAUUCAACUGGUUCCUACCAAACGGCUGUUUGGGUAUCUUCAUGGUUGCUGACUGGAUGAAAGCGCUCUUUUUUGGCGAUGUUAGCAUUUAGCAAGGUGUCAUGGAUAACUCAUAGCUGCUGAUAUUCUUGUACUUUGCUAUGCCAGCAAGCGCAUGAUCAACAUAUCCUUCUGCAUCUGAGUUUCUUCAUG